AAAGCCAAAAACACGCGGAUCCUCCUCCUAGGUCGGGUCAUUGCGCGGGUCAAGGGUAUGAAACGACGCCGUUUUGGGCAUCAGAAGCCAAACCCAAAACGACGUUGUUUUGGGUAUUUAUAUAAGUAAAAAAACUUAAAAAAACAUUUGCAACCCCAUUUUAAAAAAAAAAAUUCUUUUUUUUCUCUCAACUCUCUCUCAACCCUUCAAACUUUUUUCCAGAAUCCGGCCAUGUCUCCGGCGCCGGACCACCGCGGCGGCCGUCGAUCGUCGGCGACGGCGCCACCGUUUGCGGUUGCCGAAAAAUUUAAAAAAAAAAUAUUUUUUUGUUUUUUAGCUCCUGGCCUUAAAAAACACCGAUUUUCAUCGGAAUCGGCACCUCCCUCUCAAAAAGGUAUGAUUUUUCCCUUUUGUUUUUAUUUUCCUUCGAAAUAAAUAAAUAAAUAAAAAUAAACCGAAAAAAAACUACCUUUGAAAAAGGUUUGUACUUGAAUCGAUUUUGCUCUAUUCUCUUUUCAUUCAUUCGUGUUUUCCCCCUCAAUAUACAUAGAUUCGGGGUUUUUAUAGCCCAAAAUUUCCUAUUUUCUCUAUUUUUUACAUUGUUUGAGUUGUUGUUGGAUUCUCCUGAUCCUUUUGCAGGUACACACGUGGCGGCUCGUGCGGAGAGGCGGCGCGAACGGAGGCCGGUUCUGAGUUGUGUGGCAGUUGGAGUUGGGGGCGGCGGCUGCUGAUUUCUUUAGGGUUUCUUGCUUUUCUUUGUUUGUUUCUUUUGGGCUAGGGUUUAGUUAGGUUAGUUGGGUUGUUUGGGUAUUGGGCCUGCUGAUGUAAUUUGGGUUUAUUAAUUGGGUUUGUAAAAAAACAGGGCAUUUAUUUUAUUUUGGUCUUUGUAUUUUAAUUGGGUUUAGGCAAAAUAGGCGUAUUACCAUAUCUUUUAACAUGGGUUUGAGAACAAGACAUGAAAAUUAAAUUUAAGUUUUUAAUUUAAGUUGAGUAAAUGGAUUGGAUUGUUUCUUACUUACAUAGAGAUGUGUUUGUUUAUAAUAUAAAUUAGGGUUAAUUGCACCAAUGUCCCCAAACCGUGGUCUAGAUUCUAAAAUGCUCAUCAAACUUAAAAACAUUUUAAUUAAAU
RNAcentral lists this long non-coding RNA (1129 nucleotides) under Gossypium raimondii (Peruvian cotton). RNAcentral's name for it is "long non-coding RNA (GRAI_LNC010349)". Lineage: Eukaryota; Viridiplantae; Streptophyta; Magnoliopsida; Malvales; Malvaceae. The record is from RNAcentral.